This is a non-coding RNA of Pelobates cultripes (western spadefoot toad), 124 nucleotides long. The record is from the annotation of a GenBank genome assembly. NCBI's taxonomy places the organism in Eukaryota, Metazoa, Chordata, Amphibia, Anura, Pelobatidae.
GACUGGUGACAGAGUGAGAGAGGGGGUGACUAGUGACAGAGUGAAAGAGGGGGUGACUGUCACUAGUCACCCCAUCCCUCACUCUGUCACUAGUCACCCCCUCUCUCACUCUGUCACUAGUUAC